GUCCGUGUAACUCAGAGGAUUAGAGUGUGAGAUUGCAAACAGAUGUAAACAAUCUUGAAGCCGCGUGUUCGAAUCACGCCACGGACU
Molecule: transfer RNA, 87 nt
Filed under: Lentinula raphanica
Lineage: Eukaryota; Fungi; Basidiomycota; Agaricomycetes; Agaricales; Omphalotaceae
Description: tRNA-Cys
Rfam family: tRNA
About the family: Transfer RNA (tRNA) molecules are approximately 80 nucleotides in length.
Source: RNAcentral